UCGAGAAUCAUUCGCAAUGGGCGAAAGCCUGACGGUGCGACGCCGCGUGAAGGAAGAAGGUCCUCGGAUCGUAAACUUCUGUCAUUUGAGAACAAUUGCCGGAGCAGUAACUGGCUUCGGCUUGAUAGUAUCAGAAGAGGAAGAGACGGCUAACUCUGUGCCAGCAGCCGCGGUAAUACAGGGGUCUCAAGCGUUGUUCGGAUUCAUUGGGCGUAAAGGGUGCGUAGGCGGUGCCGUAAGUCGGAUGUGAAAUCCCGGAGCUCAACUUCGGAACUGCAUUCGAUACUGCGGUGCUAGAGGGCUGGGAGAGGAGAUCGGAAUUCAUGGUGUAGCAGUGAAAUGCGUAGAUAUCAUGAGGAAGACAGUGGCGAAGGCGGAUCUCUGGACAGUUCCUGACGCUGAGGCACGAAGGCUAGGGUAGACGAACGGGAUUAGAUACCCCGGUAGUCCUAG
This 453-nucleotide ribosomal RNA is filed under the name uncultured Verrucomicrobiota bacterium. Its description in RNAcentral is "bacterial SSU rRNA". It matches the Rfam family "Bacterial small subunit ribosomal RNA", at positions 355 to 799 of the family's 1533-position model. Lineage: Bacteria; Pseudomonadati; Verrucomicrobiota. The record is from RNAcentral.